UACAGAGGUCCCAAGCGUUGUUCGGAUUCACUGGGCGUAAAGGGUGCGUAGGUGGUGAGGUAAGUCGGAUGUGAAAUCUCCGGGCUCAACCCGGAAAUGGCAUUGGAAACUACCUUGCUUGAGGAUUUGAGGGGGGAUUGGAAUACUCGGUGUAGCAGUGAAAUGCGUAGAUAUCAAGUGGAACACCAGUGGCGAAGGCGAAUCCCUGGAAAAUACCUGACACUGAGGCACGAAAGCUAGGGGAGCAAACAGG
Molecule: ribosomal RNA, 253 nt
Filed under: uncultured bacterium
Lineage: Bacteria
Description: partial 16S ribosomal RNA
Rfam family: Bacterial small subunit ribosomal RNA
Source: RNAcentral